AUGGGGACGCCAUGCACGGAGGAUGAUCGACACUUCUUUGCGGCUGCCACUACGGUCCUUGUUGGCAACGGAUGAACGGCGCAAUUCUGGAAUUCGUCGUGGCUCAAUGGCUUGCGCCCCCGUGACAUCGCGCCGGACCUCUUUCACCUUUCUCGCAAGAAGAACCCAUUGGUCCAGCAAGCCAUGACCAACAACCUGUGGAUCACUAAUAUUGAUGGCACCAAUGGUUUGUCCAUCGCGCAUAUCGAGCAGUUUGCUGACCUUUGGGAAAAAUUAUCAUCGGUGGCCCUUGAGGAAGAUGUGGAAGACUCCAUUACUUGGAAGUUCACUAAGGAUGGGAUUUAUUCUGCUUCAUCGGCAUACAAGGCACAAUUUGAAGGUCUCAUAUCCUCUGAUCUUGUCAAGUCUGUGUGGAGGGCUUGGGCUCCCCCGAGGUGCAAAUUCUUUGCUUGGCUCGUUCUUCAAAACAGAAUAUGGACAUCAGACCGCUUGAUCCGUCGUGGCUGGCCCAACUGCGGCUUGUGUCCCCUUUGUAAGCAAGCACAGGAGUCCGCUGCUCACCUACUAUUCCAGUGCCGCUUCACAUUGCGCAUUUGGAAUGACAUUCUUCCGUGGCUUGGAAUGCACCACAUCUCUACUACUACAUGGACGGUGAGCGUUUCGGUCAAAGAAUGGUGGGACAGCAACCUUCAGAUUCGUCUCGGCUCUCCCAAAGCCCUAGCCUCAUUGAUGAUGCUCAUCUCUUGGGAGGUUUGGACUGAGAGAAAUGCUAGAGUCUUUCGCAACGUGGCGGUUCCAUCGGUGGUCAUCAUCAACAACAUCAAACAUGAGGCGUCGCUUUGGGUUUUGGCGGGUGCCAAGCACUUGAGUAUUGUAAUGCCGCGAGAGUAA
This 891-nucleotide ribosomal RNA is filed under the name Triticum aestivum (bread wheat). RNAcentral describes it as "partial small subunit ribosomal RNA". The record is from RNAcentral. Lineage: Eukaryota; Viridiplantae; Streptophyta; Magnoliopsida; Poales; Poaceae.